GCAAUAUUCCUUUCAUCCUUUUUUAAGAAAUUAGAAAAAUGACAAUUGAUAAUUUUUUAAAAGCUAGUCUAACCUGUUUUUGAAGGGGAAGAGCAUUUUGCAAAUUCAGAUUGCAAUACGACACACUUGCUCGUUCAUGUCAGAUUCUUAUGUAAUACCGAUGUUUUUAUAAGUGGACCAGAAGUCAAACCAGUCCCAUGCCCUGUUCUGCUCAACUUGUUUGACUGGUUCAGUUGAUAGGUCUAUUUAGAAAUUUCAAAUGGAUUGGUUCUUCUCAAAUUUGGCCUAAUAUGCAAUUAAAAUCACUCUAAGGCACAAUUAUUCAUUGCUGAACUCUUAAGAACCUCAAAUAAGAGAACAAUGUUUUUUAAAAAAAAAGGAUUAAAUCUGGAAUUUUCAUUUAAUAAAGCAAAAUUGAGCUAAAUAAAAAAGACAUUCAAUUAGAGCAUUGAGGCAUUCAAUAUAAUGCACAACAAAUUUCUUGAACUUACCUAUAGAACACUGAUUCUUUAUGUAAUAUCAAGAUAGCUAUUAAGAUACCCAAAGUUACUUGCAUCAAUUGCAAUAAAAAUUCCAUAAUCAGCUGAAAAAUUAAUGAAAACACUAUUAGCGUUGCUUCUUAAUGUAAAGCAAAAAUGAGCUGAAACAAAAUUACUUGUGAGAACUCAUUUUCCAUUUUGCUUCUCUAUAUCAUCA
This 696-nucleotide unclassified non-coding RNA is filed under the name Hevea brasiliensis (rubber tree). Lineage: Eukaryota; Viridiplantae; Streptophyta; Magnoliopsida; Malpighiales; Euphorbiaceae. The record is from RNAcentral.